UACGAUUUGAUGCAAGGUUAAGCAGUAAAUGUGGAGCCGUAGCGAAAGCGAGUCUGAAUAGGGCGUUUAGUAUUUGGUCGUAGACCCGAAACCAGGUGAUCUACCCUUGGUCAGGUUGAAGUUCAGGUAACACUGAAUGGAGGACCGAACCGACUUACGUUGAAAAGUGAGCGGAUGAACUGAGGGUAGCGGAGAAAUUCCAAUCGAACCUGGAGAUAGCUGGUUCUCUCCGAAAUAGCUUUAGGGCUAGCCUCAAGUGAUGAUUAUUGGAGGUAGAGCACUGUUUGGACGAGGGGCCCCUCUCGGGUUACCGAAUUCAGACAAACUCCGAAUGCCAAUUAAUUUAACUUGGGAGUCAGAACAUGGGUGAUAAGGUCCGUGUUCGAAAGGGAAACAGCCCAGACCACCAGCUAAGGUCCCAAAAUAUAUGUUAAGUGGAAAAGGAUGUGGCGUUGCCCAGACAACUAGGAUGUUGGCUUAGAAGCAGCCAUCAUUUAAAGAGUGCGUAAUAGCUCACUAGUCGAGUGACACUGCGCCGAAAAUGUACCGGGGCUAAACAUAUUACCGAAGCUGUGGAUUGUCCUUUGGACAAUGGUAGGAGAGCGUUCUAAGGGCGUUGAAGCAUGAUCGUAAGGACAUGUGGAGCGCUUAGAAGUGAGAAUGCCGGUGUGAGUAGCGAAAGACGGGUGAGAAUCCCGUCCACCGAUUGACUAAGGUUUCCAGAGGAAGGCUCGUCCGCUCUGGGUUAG
RNAcentral lists this ribosomal RNA (749 nucleotides) under Staphylococcus aureus. RNAcentral describes it as "partial 23S ribosomal RNA". It matches the Rfam family "Bacterial large subunit ribosomal RNA", at positions 629 to 1383 of the family's 2925-position model. Lineage: Bacteria; Bacillati; Bacillota; Bacilli; Caryophanales; Staphylococcaceae. The record is from RNAcentral.